This 72-nucleotide transfer RNA is filed under the name Solirubrobacteraceae bacterium. Its description in RNAcentral is "tRNA-Thr". It matches the Rfam family "tRNA". From Rfam's summary of the family: Transfer RNA (tRNA) molecules are approximately 80 nucleotides in length. Their secondary structure includes four short double-helical elements and three loops (D, anti-codon, and T loops). The record is from RNAcentral. Lineage: Bacteria; Bacillati; Actinomycetota; Thermoleophilia; Solirubrobacterales; Solirubrobacteraceae.
GCCGACGUAGCUCAGGGGUAGAGCACUUCACUCGUAAUGAAGGGGUCGUGGGUUCAAAUCCCACCGUCGGCU